This 592-nucleotide ribosomal RNA is filed under the name uncultured Burkholderia sp. Its description in RNAcentral is "bacterial SSU rRNA". It matches the Rfam family "Bacterial small subunit ribosomal RNA", at positions 418 to 1003 of the family's 1533-position model. The record is from RNAcentral. Lineage: Bacteria; Pseudomonadati; Pseudomonadota; Betaproteobacteria; Burkholderiales; Burkholderiaceae.
UCGGGUUGUAAAGCACUUUUGUCCGGAAAGAAAACUUCUGGGUUAAUACCCUGGGAGGCUGACGGUACCGGAAGAAUAAGCACCGGCUAACUACGUGCCAGCAGCCGCGGUAAUACGUAGGGUGCGAGCGUUAAUCGGAAUUACUGGGCGUAAAGCGUGCGCAGGCGGUUUGUUAAGACAGAUGUGAAAUCCCCGGGCUUAACCUGGGAACUGCAUUUGUGACUGGCAAGCUAGAGUAUGGCAGAGGGGGGUAGAAUUCCACGUGUAGCAGUGAAAUGCGUAGAGAUGUGGAGGAAUACCGAUGGCGAAGGCAGCCCCCUGGGCCAAUACUGACGCUCAUGCACGAAAGCGUGGGGAGCAAACAGGAUUAGAUACCCUGGUAGUCCACGCCCUAAACGAUGUCAACUAGUUGUUGGGUCUUCAUUGACUUAGUAACGUAGCUAACGCGUGAAGUUGACCGCCUGGGGAGUACGGUCGCAAGAUUAAAACUCAAAGGAAUUGACAGGGACCCGCACAAGCGGUGGAUGAUGUGGAUUAAUUCGAUGCAACGCGAAAAACCUUACCUACCCUUGACAUGGUCGGAACCCUGCUG